AUGUAUUACCAUCAUCAUACUCACUCCUCAUGUAUUACCAUCAUCAUACUCACUCCUCACUAUUACCAUCAUCAUACUCACUCCUCAUGUAUUACCAUCAUCAUACUCACUCCUCACUAUUACCAUCAUCAUACUCACUCCUCACUAUUACCAUCAUCAUACUCACUCCUCAUGUAUUACCAUCAUCGUACUCACUCCUCACUAUUACCAUCAUCAUACUCACUCCUCAUGUAUUACCAUCAUCAUACUCACUCCUCACUAUUACCAUCAUCAUACUCACUCCUCAUGUAUUACCAUCAUCAUACUCACUCCUCACUAAUACCAUCAUCAUACUCACUCCUCACUAUUAACCAUCAUCAUACUCACUCCUCACUAUUACCAUCAUCAUACUCACUCCUCACUAUUACCAUCAUCAUACUCACUCCUCACGUAUUACCAUCACCAUACUCACUCCUCAUGUAUUACCAUCAUCAUACUCACUCCUCAUGUAUUACCAUCAUCAUACUCACUCCUCACUAUUACCAUCAUCAUACUCACUCCUCACUAUUACCAUCAUCAUACUCACUCCUCACUAUUACCAUCAUCAUACUCACUCCUCACUAUUACCAUCAUCAUACUCACUCCUCAUGUAUUACCAUCAUCAUACUCACUCCUCACUAUUACCAUCAUCAUACUCACUCCUCACUAUUACCAUCAUCAUACUCACUCCUCACUAAUACCAUCAUCAUACUCACUCCUCACGUAUUACCAUCAUCAUACUCACUCCUCACGUAUUACCAUCACCAUACUCACUCCUCACUAUUACCAUCAUCAUACUCACUCCUCAUGUAUUACCAUCAUCAUACUCACUCCUCACUAUUACCAUCAUCAUACUCACUCCAUAUGUAUUACCAUCACCAUACUCACUCCUCACUAAUACCAUCAUCAUACUCACUCCUCACUAUUACCAUCAUCAUACUCACUCCUCAUGUAUUACCAUCAUCAUACUCACUCCUCAUGUAUUACCAUCAUCAUACUCACUCCUCAUGUAUUACCAUCAUCAUACUCACUCCUCACGUAUUACCAUCACCAUACUCACUCCUCACUAUUACCAUCAUCAUACUCACUCCUCACGUAUUACCAUCAUCAUACUCACUCCUCACUAUUACCAUCAUCAUACUCACUCCUCACUAUUACCAUCAUCAUACUCACUCCUCACUAUUACCAUCAUCAUACUCACUCCUCACGUAUUACCAUCAUCAUACUCACUCCUCACUAUUACCAUCAUCAUACUCACUCCUCACUAAUACCAUCAUCAUACUCACUCCUCACUAUUACCAUCAUCAUACUCACUCCUCACUAAUACCAUCAUCAUACUCACUCCUCACUAUUACCAUCAUCAUACUCACUCCUCAUGUAUUACCAUCGUCAUACUCACUCCUCAUGUAUUACCAUCACCAUACUCACUCCUCACUAUUACCAUCAUCAUACUCACUCCUCACUAUUACCAUCAUCAUACUCACUCCUCAUGUAUUACCAUCAUCAUACUCACUCCUCAUGUAUUACCAUCAUCAUACUCACUCCUCAUGUAUUACCAUCAUCAUACUCACUCCUCACUAUUACCAUCAUCAUACUCACUCCUCAUGUAUUACCAUCAUCAUACUCACUCCUCACUAUUACCAUCAUCAUAUUCACUCCUCACUAUUACCAUCAUCAUACUCACUCCUCACUAUUACCAUCAUCAUACUCACUCCUCACUAUUACCAUCGUCAUACUCACUCCUCAUGUAUUACCAUCACCAUACUCACUCCUCACUAUUACCAUCAUCAUACUCACUCCUCACUAUUACCAUCAUCAUACUCACUCCUCAUGUAUUACCAUCAUCAUACUCACUCCUCACUAUUACCAUCAUCAUACUCACUCCUCACUAUUACCAUCAUCAUACUCAGUCCUCACUAUUACCAUCAUCAUACUCACUCCUCACUAUUACCAUCAUCACACUCACUCCUCACUAUUACCAUCAUCACACUCACUCCUCACGUAUUACCAUCAUCAUAUUCACUCCUCACUAUUACCAUCACCAUACUCACUCCUCACUAUUACCAUCAUCAUACUCACUCCUCACUAUUACCAUCAUCAUACUCACUCCUCACUAUUACCAUCAUCAUACUCACUCCUCACUAA
Molecule: long non-coding RNA, 2163 nt
Organism: Oncorhynchus mykiss (rainbow trout)
Lineage: Eukaryota; Metazoa; Chordata; Actinopteri; Salmoniformes; Salmonidae
Source: Ensembl